UAGAAGCAGAUAAACCCGGCCUACUCUAAGGAAACCUCCCCAAUUAUAUGACAUAAGGAGUUGGAGGAAAAGAAAAAUUAUUGACAUCAUCCGCAAAGCAUUGUAACUAAAAGGACAGAUGGAAAGCUUUAAACUGAAGUCCCCGUGUGGACAUCUUUCUAUAGUGACUGGGGAAAGUGGCCAUGGAAGACCAGCCGAGCACCACCUGUGACCUUGCCUUACAGAGGCAAUCUGUGGUUCAUUUGUAGGUAAUUGGGCAAUGAAAAUCUGAUUUCCUUGUGACAUUCUCAUUACUGCUCUUAAUUCCAACAGAUACCUGUAACACUGAUUCAAUUAUUUCAUCUCAGCCUGUUACACAUAUAUAAUUGAUGUCUCCAGCCAAAUAACAGUAACCUGUAUUUUCAGAGGCUAUAGAAAUGUUAUGUUUGCAGAAAGAAAACACAUUCCUUCCAGUUUUGUCAGCAUGACUAAACAUUGAUGAUAUGUACCUGCAAAAAUUGUUGUGCAAAAAUUGGGAAU
Molecule: long non-coding RNA, 519 nt
Organism: Neogale vison (American mink)
Lineage: Eukaryota; Metazoa; Chordata; Mammalia; Carnivora; Mustelidae
Exons: 3
Source: RefSeq, a predicted model, not a curated record